UUUUUUUUUUUCUUUAUUUCAUAUGCCAUUGCUUUUCUUAAUAACUCAUUCUUUUUCUAACCUGUAGGGUUUUACAAAAGAGAUUUACUUGGAGAAGGAUCGAUGGCAAGGGUAUUGUUAGUUCACAAACUUCAGCUCUAACUUUGAUUGUCGAAGUGCUUCUUCACUUCUGUAUUCUUGUACCCUUUGUCAACCAUGUUUGGUUCCAGUCAUCUAAGAGUUAUCAUUGUGCAUCUGGUUUAUUUAUAAGUUUGUCCUAUUUCCGGGUAUAUUAAAGACUAUGAUGGA
Molecule: unclassified non-coding RNA, 288 nt
Filed under: Hevea brasiliensis (rubber tree)
Lineage: Eukaryota; Viridiplantae; Streptophyta; Magnoliopsida; Malpighiales; Euphorbiaceae
Source: RNAcentral